GCGCGCUUAACGCAUGCAAGUCGAGCGAUGAGGCUCCCUUCGGGGAGUACAUCAGCGGCAGACGGGUGAGUAACACGUAGAUAACCUACCCUCAAGACGGGGACAACCGGUGGAAACAGCGGCUAAUACCCGAUAUGCUCACAGGAUCGGGAGGUCGAGUGAGGAAAGGCUUCGGUGCUUGAGGAGGGAUCUGCGGCCCAUCAGCUAGUUGGUGAGGUAACGGCUCACCAAGGCGAAGACGGGUAGGGGGUGUGAGAGCAUGGCCCCCCACAAUGGGACUGAGACACGGCCCAUACUCCUACGGGAGGCAGCAGCGGGGAAUAUUGCGCAAUGGACGGAAGUCAGACGCAGCGACGCCGCGUGGGUGAGGAAGGCCUUCGGGUUGUAAAGCCCUUUUCAGGGGAGCGAGAAAGGACGGUACCCUUGGAAUAAGCGUCGGCUAACUACGUGCCAGCAGCCGCGGUAAGACGUAGGACGCAAGCGUUAUCCGGAUUUACUGGGCGUAAAGCGCCUGUAGGCGGUCAAGUAAGUCGGAUGUGAAAGCCCCGUGCUCAACGCGGGGAAGCCAUUCGAUACUGCGUGACUAGAGAACGGCAGAGGGAAACGGAAUUUCUGGUGUAGCGGUAAAAUGCGCAGAGAUCAGAAAGAACACCGAUGGCGAAGGCAGUUUCCUAGGCCGCAUCUGACGCUGAGAGGCGAAAGCUAGGGGAGCAAACAGGAUUAGAGACCCUGGUAGUCCUAGCUGUAAACGAUGGAUGCUAGGUGUGGGCCGGAAAGGUCCGUGCCGUAGUUAACGCGAUAAGCAUCCCGCCUGGGGAGUACGGCCGCAAGGCUAAAACUCAAACGAAUUGACGGGGACCCGCACAAGCAGCGGAGCGUGUGGUUUAAUUCGAUGCUACACGCAGAACCUUACCUGGGCUUGACAUGUAGGUGGUAGUGAAGUGAAAGCGGAGCGACCCUUCGGGGAGCCUACACAGGUGCUGCAUGGCUGUCGUCAGCUCGUGCCGUGAGGUGUCGGGUUAAGUCCCGUAACGAGCGCAACCCUUGUCCUUAGUUACAAGUGUCUAAGGAGACUGCCGGUGACAAACCGGAGGAAGGUGGGGAUGACGUCAAGU
Molecule: ribosomal RNA, 1115 nt
Filed under: uncultured organism
Description: bacterial SSU rRNA
Rfam family: Bacterial small subunit ribosomal RNA
Source: RNAcentral